Molecule: ribosomal RNA, 277 nt
Filed under: uncultured prokaryote
Description: partial 16S ribosomal RNA
Rfam family: Bacterial small subunit ribosomal RNA
Source: RNAcentral
UACGUAGGGGGCGAGCGUUGUCCGGAAUUAUUGGGCGUAAAGGGUGCGUAGGUGGUUUCUUAAGUCAGAGGUGAAAGGCUACGGCUCAACCGUAGUAAGCCUUUGAAACUGGGAAACUUGAGUGCAGGAGAGGAGAGUGGAAUUCCUAGUGUAGCGGUGAAAUGCGUAGAUAUUAGGAGGAACACCAGUAGCGAAGGCGGCUCUCUGGACUGUAACUGACGCUGAGGCACGAAAGCGUGGGGAGCAAACAGGAUUAGAUACCCGCGUAGUUCCUGAG